RNAcentral lists this ribosomal RNA (460 nucleotides) under uncultured bacterium. RNAcentral describes it as "partial 16S ribosomal RNA". It matches the Rfam family "Bacterial small subunit ribosomal RNA", at positions 338 to 795 of the family's 1533-position model. The record is from RNAcentral.
CCUACGGGUGGCAGCAGUGAGGAAUAUUGGUCAAUGGACGAGAGUCUGAACCAGCCAAGUAGCGUGAAGGAUGACUGCCCUAUGGGUUGUAAACUUCUUUUAUAUGGGAAUAAAAUGUUCCACGUGUGGGAUUUUGUAUGUACCAUAUGAAUAAGGAUCGGCUAACUCCGUGCCAGCAGCCGCGGUAAUACGGAGGAUCCGAGCGUUAUCCGGAUUUAUUGGGUUUAAAGGGAGCGUAGGUGAAUUGUUAAGUCAGUUGUGAAAGUUUGCGGCUCAACCGUAAAAUUGCAGUUGAAACUGGCAGUCUUGAGUACAGGAGAGGUGGGCGGAAUUCGUGGUGUAGCGGUGAAAUGCUUAGAUAUCACGAAGAACUCCGAUUGCGAAGGCAGUUCACUGGACUGCAACUGACACUGAGGCUCGAAAGUGUGGGUAUCAAACAGGAUUAGAUACCCGGGUAGUC